Molecule: ribosomal RNA, 731 nt
Filed under: Vogesella perlucida
Lineage: Bacteria; Pseudomonadati; Pseudomonadota; Betaproteobacteria; Neisseriales; Chromobacteriaceae
Description: bacterial SSU rRNA
Rfam family: Bacterial small subunit ribosomal RNA
Source: RNAcentral
GAGUGGCGACGGGUGAGUAAUGCGUCGGAACGUGCCGAGAUAGUGGGGGAUAACGCAGCGAAAGUUGUGCUAAUACCGCAUACGUACUGAGGUAGAAAGUGGGGGACCUUCGGGCCUCACGCUAUUCGAGCGGCCGACGUCUGAUUAGCUAGUAGGUGAGGUAAAGGCUCACCUAGGCGACGAUCAGUAGCGGGUCUGAGAGGAUGAUCCGCCACACUGGGACUGAGACACGGCCCAGACUCCUACGGGAGGCAGCAGUGGGGAAUUUUGGACAAUGGGCGAAAGCCUGAUCCAGCCAUGCCGCGUGUCUGAAGAAGGCCUUCGGGUUGUAAAGGACUUUUGUCAGGGAGGAAAUCCCUAGCGUUAAUACCGCUGGGGGAUGACAGUACCUGAAGAAUAAGCACCGGCUAACUACGUGCCAGCAGCCGCGGUAAUACGUAGGGUGCGAGCGUUAAUCGGAAUUACUGGGCGUAAAGCGUGCGCAGGCGGUUUGAUAAGCCAGAUGUGAAAUCCCCGAGCUCAACUUGGGAACUGCGUUUGGAACUGUCAGACUAGAGUGCGUCAGAGGGGGUGGAAUUCCGCGUGUAGCAGUGAAAUGCGUAGAGAUGCGGAGGAACACCGAUGGCGAAGCAGCCCCCUGGGAUGACACUGACGCUCAUGCACGAAAGCGGUGGGGAGCAAACAGGAUUAGAUACCCUGGUAGUCCACCGCCCUAAACGAUGUCAUUAGCU